This 254-nucleotide ribosomal RNA is filed under the name uncultured bacterium. Its description in RNAcentral is "partial 16S ribosomal RNA". It matches the Rfam family "Bacterial small subunit ribosomal RNA", at positions 524 to 776 of the family's 1533-position model. The record is from RNAcentral.
UACGGAGGGGACUAGCGUUGUUCGGAAUUACUGGGCGUAAAGCGCACGUAGGCGGAUUUGUAAGUCAGGGGUGAAAUCCCGGGGCUCAACCCCGGAACUGCCUUUUGAUACUGCGAAUCUCGAGUCCGGAAGAGGUGAGUGGAAUUCCUAGUGUAGAGGUGAAAUUCGUAGAUAUUAGGAAGAACACCAGUGGCGAAGGCGGCUCACUGGUCCGGUACUGACGCUGAGGUGCGAAAGCGUGGGGAGCAAACAGG